This 1388-nucleotide ribosomal RNA is filed under the name Limnonectes cf. palavanensis UA-2019. RNAcentral describes it as "partial large subunit ribosomal RNA". It matches the Rfam family "Bacterial large subunit ribosomal RNA", at positions 367 to 2519 of the family's 2925-position model. The record is from RNAcentral. Lineage: Eukaryota; Metazoa; Chordata; Amphibia; Anura; Dicroglossidae.
AAAGCCCCUCGCUUACACCGAAGAGACAUCUGCUCGUACCAGAUUAUUUUGAGCCUAAAAUUCAGCCUACUAUCAACCUCAUGUAAAUUACACUUAUAUCCCCCCUCCAAUAAAACAUUUUUUCAGUCCAGUAGAGGCGAUCAAAAAACUUAUUAGCGCUUUAUUAUUAGUACCGCAAGGGAAAAAUGAAAUAGCUUUGAAACAGCCUUAAAGCCAAACACAGCAAAGAUUACCCCUUGUACCUUUUGCAUCAUGGUUUAGCUAGUCUUUAUCAAGCAAGAAGAAACAUCAGUUUGAUCCCCCGAAACCAGACGAGCUACUUUAAAACAGCUUUAUAGAGCCAACCCAUCUCUGUUGCAAAAGAGUGGGAUGAUUUUUAAGUAGAGGUGAAAAGCCUACCGAGCCUGGAGAUAGCUGGUUACUUAGAAAAAGAAUUUUAGUUCAGCCUCAACUCUCUCAAUUAAUUCAACAAACACCUUAGACUUGAGAGCUAAUCAAAUAAGGCACAGCUUAUUUGAUAACGGAUACAGCCUAUAAAAAAGGGUAAAAAAUACUACAUACAGGUUAAGUGGGCCUAAAAGCAGCCACCUUUAAGAAAGCGUUAAAGCUCCACCUUCUCCAAUACAUAAUACCUAAACUCACUUUAAACCCUUUUCUACUACUAAGUAAUUUUAUAAUUUUAUAAAAACUCUUAUGCUAAAACUAGUAACAAGAAAUUGAAUUUCUCCCAAUACAAACAUAAACCAAAAUGGACAGACCAUUGGUAAUUAACGUUAAUGAACUAACUAUAAUAACAAACUCAAGAAAACACUAUAACCACACACGUUAACCUUACACAAGUGUAUUUCAGGAAAGAUAAACAGAAAGGGAAGGAACUCGGCAAACUUUAGCCCCGCCUGUUUACCAAAAACAUCGCCUCUUGACUAACAUAAGAGGUCCAGCCUGCCCAGUGAAACUUAAACGGCCGCGGUACCCUGACCGUGCAAAGGUAGCAUAAUCAUUUGUUCUUUAAAUAAGGACCUGUAUCAAUGGCAUCACGAGGGCUAUACUGUCUCCCCUAUCUAAUCAGUGAAACUGACUUCCCCGUGAAGAGGCGGGGAUAAAAAUACAAGACGAGAAGACCCCAUGGAGCUUUAGACCCAAUAAUAACCUUUAUCUACUUGUUUCCACAAAAAUAUAAAUGUAUUAUAUAUUGGUUUUAGGUUGGGGUGACCGCGGAGUAAAAUUUAACCUCCUUGACGAAUAGAUAACAAUCCUAAUCUAAGAGCCACUACUCUAAGAAUCAAAAAUUUGACAUAACAUGAUCCGAUAGUCGAUCAACGAACCAAGUUACCCUGGGGAUAACAGCGCAAUCCAUUUCAAGGAGUUCCUAUCGACAAAAUGGGUUU